Molecule: ribosomal RNA, 458 nt
Filed under: uncultured organism
Description: partial 16S ribosomal RNA
Rfam family: Bacterial small subunit ribosomal RNA
Source: RNAcentral
CGUACACUCCUACGGGAGGCAGCAGUGGGGAAUAUUGCACAAUGGGCGCAAGCCUGAUGCAGCGACGCCGCGUGGGGGAUGAAGGCCUUCGGGUUGUAAACUCCUUUCGCUAGGGACGAAGCUUUUUUGUGACGGUACCUAGAUAAGAAGCACCGGCUAACUACGUGCCAGCAGCCGCGGUAAUACGUAGGGUGCGAGCGUUGUCCGGAAUUACUGGGCGUAAAGGGCUCGUAGGUGGUUUGUCGCGUCGUCUGUGAAAUUCUGGGGCUUAACUCCGGGCGUGCAGGCGAUACGGGCAUAACUUGAGUGCUGUAGGGGUAACUGGAAUUCCUGGUGUAGCGGUGAAAUGCGCAGAUAUCAGGAGGAACACCGAUGGCGAAGGCAGGUUACUGGGCAGUUACUGACGCUGAGGAGCGAAAGCAUGGGUAGCGAACAGGAUUAGAAACCCCAGUAGUCCC